RNAcentral lists this long non-coding RNA (632 nucleotides) under Dromaius novaehollandiae (emu). RNAcentral's name for it is "lncRNA (ENSDNVG00000004922.1)". Lineage: Eukaryota; Metazoa; Chordata; Aves; Casuariiformes; Dromaiidae. The record is from RNAcentral.
CCUGAGUUAUAAGAACUAAAUUGUAAGGCUUUUUUUUUUUUUUUUUUUUUUUUUUUUCAGAAGACAAGAUGAAAGCAAGCCUUAAUAAUCUGUGCAUUCUGCUAGACAUGACCCAGGUUUUGUAUAAUUUUCAGCAUGCUUUCCUUAUGUUCUGUGGAUUAGACCCAAGGACCGGUGGCAUUUAGAUGACCUGAUGACACAGCUGACUCUUGUUUUUACCUUCUAAAAUGCAUACAAUACAAAUUAACUGAUGUAGCUCACUACUGUAACCAAGAAUUGAUAAGCAUUUACUGUGAAGAAACUGACUUCUGCCCAGGAGCAUCCUAUAAAACUGCUGGACAUUCAAUCUCUGCUACUCACUGACUGCACUAACUACAACUGCUCAAAGAUAACACUGAGUCCAGGUUAAGCGGGAUUUAAAGCAGGCCUGGGCAUUCACUGUCAUCGAGAAAUGUAGCAAGACUUAUUGCUAAGGUUGUUGAACACACUUAUAAUUGAUCAAGCUUUGUCAGAUGGCAACUUUCUUGGCUAAUAUCCUUGGGCAUGUCUGCAGAGCAGGCCUAAUUCACCUGGUGAACAUCCAGAUCUCACAAGUAGGAGCAGCCCUGCUGUAAGGUUAUAUUCAAUUAAAU